CCUGCUCUAAUGAACACGACCCUUUCAUCUUCAGUUGUCUUUCUUCUCUUACCUAUGAUCCUGAUUUCCAGAGUAGCCCUGGCCUCAAUCUGCAGGACCAACCUGUACAUCCCAGAGUGGGCUCUCUCAGCCGAGCGGAUGAACAGGAGAUAGUCCACGCUGGAACUGCGUGUGCUGCUAACUCAAAUGUCAACUUCUUCCCCAUCCUCACUGUUAGUCUACACCUGUUGUUCACAAAGCAUGUGACAAUUGAAAUUGUAUUUGACACCAGUAGAGAGCACGUGGAGCAGACACAGAUCCUCUCCAUGCCACCUGGUAGGAGCGGCCUGCCAGGGAGCGUUUCUUACCCUAUUAGACAAAGCAAUACUUUGUUCAGAAUAGAAACAAAUGAAGGAACAAACAGUAGCUGUCAAUGGCUAACUGCAGUGGUACCUUGUAAACUUCACGAGAUAUUGGGCACCUAAUAAGAUGUUCAAGUUUGAUAAGCUUGUCCCAUAUAGAGUGAUUCUGUAGAACACAUAGCAUUCAGCUUCGGUUCAUACUUCAUAAUACAUGAAACCAUUGCGGUGUAAUGGGUAACUUUGAACAACAGACCUGGAAGGGGAUGGUCAGAUUAAUUUUGUCGCCCUACUCUUCUGGGGUCGGUUGCACAAGUUGGGCAUAAAAAUGUUGGCCGUAAAUGCUAGGUCGGGCGUAGCUACGUCCGACUUUGGGAUCAGAAUUUACACCUAUUGCACCAAACACAAAAUAAGACUAGUCGAACCUGUCUGGCGUAAGCAAUGCACAUUCAUGAGAGUUGAUGCUUUUUUUAUGCAAAAUCUGGAUCCCUACAAAUCAGCUGGGCUAGACAAUCUGGACCCGCUCUUUCUAAAAUUAUCUCCCCGAAAUUGUUGCAACCCCUAUUACUAGCCCAAGUCUAUAUUGCUGUCAUCAAGGAAAAGGGUGGCUACUUUGAAGAAUCCCAAAAAAUUAAACAUAUUUCGAUUUUUUUAACACACUUUUUUGGUUACUACAUGAUUCGACAUGUGUAAUUUCAUAGUUUUGAUGUCUUCACUAUUAUUCUACAAUGUAGAAAAUAGUAAAAAAUAAAGAAAAACCCUUGAAUGAGUAGGUGUGUCGAAACUUUUGACUGGUAAUGUAUAUAGAAAUACAGCAUGGCUCUUGUAGCAAUUUAUUCUCUUCACCUCUGUGUCUUUUCUAAGGUCGCAGAGGAGUUUUCCAGAAGUCAUCCUCCCACCCGGGGACACCUGGAUCUUCAACAGAGAGGAUGCCGAAAGGAUUGCCAAUGGGGGUGGAAUCAGAGCGUUCAGCCCGCACCCCUUUACCUCAGGAGCUCCAAGACACCAAUCAGGGAAGAGACCAGGGGCAUGUGUGGAUAGAUCCAAACUACGAGUAUGUACUCCAAGGCAUCUACAGUGGCCCAGUAUAUCCAUUGGACAGAAGAGAAAACAGACAGUCUGAUAUCCAUGGUGACAGAACACAGAGAGAGACAUCAGAAUCUCAGUCUAGUUCUAGAUGGUCCACACCAGAUCCCACAAAAAAAGGUACAAUUGUCAAAUUAAUUACAGUCUCCACAAUAUGCACCUUGAUAAAAUGUAAAUCACUUGAUGGAAUACAAAUAACUAACAUAUUUUUUUUAAUUAUGUUUUUUUUCUCAAUCAAAGCCAAAUUCAAACGUUUUGAUUCUCAUCUGAUUCCUUACAAUUAGGUCAAGUUGCAAUAUCUCUGACAGCCAACAGAGGGAAACAGAGACACAUGGCUCUAUGAUUCUCGAUGUAGUUACACCCAAACUCCUCUCUCUCUUUCUCUCUCUCAAUUCAAUUCAAAGGGCUUUACUGGCAUGGGGAACACAUGUUUACAUCGCCAAAUCAAGUGAAAUAGACAAUAAACGAAAGUGAAAUACGCAAUCAAAUAUGAACAGUAAACAUUACUGUUUACAACAAAACUACAACAAAAGUUUCAAAGGAAUAGACAUUUCAAAUGUCAUACCAUGGCUAUGUACAGUGUUGUAACAAUUUGCAAAUAGUUAAAUUGCAAAAGGAAAAAUAAAUAUGGGUUGUACUUACAAUGGUGUUUGUUCUUCACUGGUUGACCUUUUCUUGUGGCAACAGGUCACAAAUCUUGCUGCUGUGAUGGCACACUCUGGUAUGUCACCUAAUAGAUAUGGUAGUUUAUCAAAAUUGGAUUUGUUUUUUAAUUCUUUGUGGGUCUGUAUAAUCUGAGGGAAAUACUGUAUGUCUCUAAGUGUAACCUAACCCCUAAGCCUACAAUUGCCUUUUUCCUUGUGGGGACGAGCGAAAUGUCCCCACUUAUCCGAAUGUUCCUUGUUUUACUAUCAUUGUGAUUACUUAUGGUCCCCACAAGGAUAGUAAAACCAAACACACACAAACACACACACACACACACAAUAUCAUAGAUUUUCUAUUGGCACUAUUACUACUUUGGCAUUCUCAAGCUUUCCUGCUAUUCAUUAAUUACUACAGCUCCCUUUUUUCACACACAACAUCCAUGACUUCCAUUCAUUCUGUGCAUUGGAGUCAUACACAUUGUAUUAAAGUAUCAACUUUUCCUCAUAAGGAGAGGGUGAGUGAAGAGGAGCAGAUAGAGAGGAUGAGGAGACAUCAGAAAAGGCUAGCCAAUCAGAGGAAACCACUCAUUCCCGGGUCUCACGACCCAAACCCAGUGUCAAAGUUCAGAUCCAAAA
This is a long non-coding RNA of Salvelinus fontinalis (brook trout), 2704 nucleotides long. RefSeq lists it as uncharacterized. Lineage: Eukaryota; Metazoa; Chordata; Actinopteri; Salmoniformes; Salmonidae. The transcript has 4 exons. The record is from RefSeq and is a predicted model, not a curated record.